GAUGAACGCUGGCGGCGUGCCUAAUACAUGCAAGUCGAGCGAACAGAUAAGGAGCUUGCUCCUUUGACGUUAGCGGCGGACGGGUGAGUAACACGUGGGUAACCUACCUAUAAGACUGGGAUAACUUCGGGAAACCGGAGCUAAUACCGGAUAACAUUUGGAACCGCAUGGUUCUAAAGUGAAAGAUGGUUUUGCUAUCACUUAUAGAUGGACCCGCGCCGUAUUAGCUAGUUGGUAAGGUAACGGCUUACCAAGGCAACGAUACGUAGCCGACCUGAGAGGGUGAUCGGCCACACUGGAACUGAGACACGGACCAGACUCCUAAGGGAGGCAGCAGUAGGGAAACUGCCGCAAUGGGCGAAAGCCUGACGGAGCAACGCCGCGUGAGUGAUGAAGGGUUUCCGCGCGUAAAACUCUGUUAUUAGGGACGAACAAACGUGUAAGUAACUGUGCACGUCUUGACGGUACCUAAUCAGAAAGCCACGGCUAACUACGUG
RNAcentral lists this ribosomal RNA (497 nucleotides) under uncultured bacterium. RNAcentral's name for it is "partial 16S ribosomal RNA". It matches the Rfam family "Bacterial small subunit ribosomal RNA", at positions 28 to 507 of the family's 1533-position model. The record is from RNAcentral.